This 31-nucleotide non-coding RNA is filed under the name Mus musculus (house mouse). The record is from RNAcentral. Lineage: Eukaryota; Metazoa; Chordata; Mammalia; Rodentia; Muridae.
UGAGUGUCACUCCUGGAUCUGAGUCAACACC